Molecule: ribosomal RNA, 490 nt
Filed under: uncultured bacterium
Lineage: Bacteria
Description: partial 16S ribosomal RNA
Rfam family: Bacterial small subunit ribosomal RNA
Source: RNAcentral
GAUGAACGCUAGCGAUAGGCUUAACACAUGCAAGUCGAGGGGCAGCAUGGUCUUAGCUUGCUAAGACUGAUGGCGACCGGCGCACGGGUGCGUAACGCGUAUGCAACUUGCCUCACAGAGGGGGAUAACCCGUCGAAAGACGGACUAAUACCGCGUACACUCCAUCUUGGGCAUCCAAGGUAGAGGAAAUGAAAUUCGCUGUGAGAUAGGCAUGCGUCCCAUUAGCUAGUUGGUGAGGUAACGGCUCACCAAGGCGACGAUGGGUAGGGGAACUGAGAGGUUGAACCCCCACACUGGUACUGAGACACGGACCAGACUACUACGGGAGGCAGCAGUGAGGAAUAUUGGUCAAUGGGCGAGAGCCUGAACCAGCCAAGUCGCGUGAAGGAUGACUGUCUUAUGGAUUGUAAACUUCUUUUAGACGGGAAUAACAAGAGUCACGUGUGACUCCCUGCAUGUACCGGAUGAAUAAGCAUCGGCUAACUCCGUG